Molecule: non-coding RNA, 372 nt
Organism: Pelobates cultripes (western spadefoot toad)
Lineage: Eukaryota; Metazoa; Chordata; Amphibia; Anura; Pelobatidae
Source: the annotation of a GenBank genome assembly
UCGUAUCUGAGUUUUCCGGUUACCACGGUGUUAUGUCCAGUGAGCUGUUUGCAGGAAUAUGAGCUUUGGACGAGUGCACAUCGUUUGGCUUCUUCCCCUCGAUUUUUCCUCUUUGUUCGUCACCCCUUUACCCUGUGUCCAGUACUACCUUGGCUCGCUGGGCAAAAUGGGUGAUCUGGCUGGUGUGGAUACACCCAUCUUUAGCGCCCAUUACUCCCGGGGGCAUCAGCCAUGUCUAUGGUGGCUUUGGGGGCACGUCUGGGAAACCUGAUGAGGAUGGCGGACUGGUCCUGUGACUCCAUUUUUCGUGAGGUUGACUUUCGACUUAUGCCCCACGCUUUUUCUUCUGUUAUUGAUCAGCUUUAAACUUGC